Scophthalmus maximus (turbot) is the source of this 1332-nucleotide long non-coding RNA. RefSeq lists it as uncharacterized. The transcript is spliced from 3 exons. The record is from RefSeq and is a predicted model, not a curated record. NCBI's taxonomy places the organism in Eukaryota, Metazoa, Chordata, Actinopteri, Pleuronectiformes, Scophthalmidae.
ACGACACAGGUCAAGUCGGGUCAGGUGACCGAGGGGAAUUUAGCGGCAAAACGGGAUAUUACGAAAAAAAAAAAAAAAAAAAGAAUGCCGGGAGCUGUGUCACAGCAGAGAGGAGAGGAGCAGAAAUCAGAGAAACUGUAAUACGCUAUGAAAAAUAAAAACAUGUCGGCUAGCUAUAGCGCUAGCAUCAGCACAGAGCCCGGAGAGGAGAGGACCAUGCUAACGAUGCUAACGAUGCUAAGAGGACCGGAAACCAACAGAGGCAGCCCUGAGACACGACGACACACCUGUUCAACUGCCCCCACCGGAGCCCCCCGACACACCCACACACCGACCAGCCCCACGGAGCCCCCGGCGGCGUCCUCAACUCUAUGAGAUGAAGCUAAACGCUGCUGCUGCAUCACAUCACGUCUCUGCUGCUCUUCACUCAUCACCUUUUGGUCCAUGUCCCAUCUGCUAACAUGGAAGGGGGGCGGGGCUUACGACCUACACUGCAGCCAGCCACCAGGGGGCGAUCCAGAUGAUUUGGCCUCACUUUUGGAGAUGUCAUGUCGUCCAUCUUUAUCGGGUAAGCAUGAACAUUGAGUUUUCGACUCUCUUUGUGUCUAUAUCUUCAGAUCAAUAAAAAGAAAACAAGCAACAUUUGUCAAAGGUACAAAAAGGUAAAAAACAAACAAGGAAAACUGUUGAACUUUUAUUUAAACAUAUAUAUUUUUUUUACUAUUACUGCUCUUUAAUGCUGUCUCAGUUUGAACCAUAUUCAGCCUCUUAUGUAUCAGAUGAGGAUAAUAUGUCUGUGAGUAAUUUGAGAAAAACGGUGUCAGGGCUGUUUGUGCUUGUCGGGGGGUAAAACAGGGUUUGUAGAUAAAAAAGCAGCGGAGCUGUUUCACAAUAAAACGCUCUGAUUUUUGUUUCCCUUAUUGGGUCACUGAAGGCUUUUAUCCCGUAAAUAGGACCAAGCGCACACACACACUUACAAACACGCACACGCACACACACACACACACACACCACGUCCACUGCUGUCUAAAGCAACAAACACACAAACAGAUAAAGAAAAAGAAUCACCCCAAACGGAUUUAUCAACCCACUGAGAGGAGGAUGAGGAUGUUGUGUUUCAGGAUGUCCGUGCAGCAAAAGUAGGUCACACAACAGUGACCAACCUGAACCAAAAAAAAAAAUAGUUACACACACACGAAUACAUACACUGUGCACAUGUCACGUACUGUGUGUACGUGUGCAGGUAAACUUGUAUUAUAAUGGAUAUAUAAUGGAUUUAUUAUGUGUUCUAAUGUUUAUUUGCGGUUCUAUUUCUGUGUAUUUGUUCCUCUA